GGCUCAGAACGAACGCUGGCGGCGUGGAUAAGACAUGCAAGUCGAGCGCUGAUUACGGGGUAGCAAUAUUCCGUAGUUGGAGCGGCGCAAGGGUGCGUAACACGUGGGUAAUCUGCCAUGAAGUUUGGAAUAACUUGCUGAAAGGCGAGCUAAUACCGGAUGUGACCAUUGGAAGGCAUCUUCUGAUGUUUAAAGUUGGGGACCGCAAGGCCUGACGCUUCAUGAUGAACCCGCGGCCUAUCAGCUAGUUGGUGAGGUAACGGCUCACCAAGGCUAAGACGGGUAGCUGGUCUGAGAGGACGACCAGCCACACUGGAACUGAGACACGGUCCAGACACCUACGGGUGGCAGCAGUCGAGAAUUUUUCACAAUGGGCGAAAGCCUGAUGGAGCGACGCCGCGUGGGGGAUGAAUGGCUUCGGCCCGUAAACCCCUGUCAUUCGCGAACAAUGCCUGCGGCUUAAUACGUUGCAGGUUGAUAGUAGCGGAAGAGGAAGGGACGGCUAACUCUGUGCCAGCAGCCGCGGUAAUACAGAGGUCCCAAGCGUUGUUCGGAUUCACUGGGCGUAAAGGGUGCGUAGGUGGUCGGGUAAGUCUGAUGUGAAAUCUCCGAGCUUAACUCGGAAAUGGCAUUGGAUACUAUUCGGCUUGAGGGUUGGAGGGGGGACUGGAAUUCUCGGUGUAGCAGUGAAAUGCGUAGAUAUCGAGAGGAACACCAGUGGCGAAGGCGAGUCCCUGGACAACUCCUGACACUGAGGCACGAAAGCUAGGGGAGCAAACAGGAUUAGAUACCCUGGUAGUCCUAGCCGUAAACGGUGCACGUUUGCUGUAAAAGGAAUCGACCCCUUUUGUGGCGUAGCCAACGCGUUAAACGUGCCGCCUGGGAAGUACGGUCGCAAGAUAAAACUC
Molecule: ribosomal RNA, 908 nt
Filed under: uncultured bacterium
Lineage: Bacteria
Description: bacterial SSU rRNA
Rfam family: Bacterial small subunit ribosomal RNA
Source: RNAcentral